Molecule: transfer RNA, 68 nt
Filed under: Vulpes vulpes (red fox)
Lineage: Eukaryota; Metazoa; Chordata; Mammalia; Carnivora; Canidae
Also listed under: 1 other name
Rfam family: tRNA
About the family: Transfer RNA (tRNA) molecules are approximately 80 nucleotides in length. Their secondary structure includes four short double-helical elements and three loops (D, anti-codon, and T loops).
Source: Rfam by way of RNAcentral
GCAGACAUAGUUUAAUAAAACAUUAGAUUGUGAAUCUAACAAUAAAAGUUUAAAUCUUUUUGUCUACC